CCCAAACUUGCAACAAAAAGCACAGCCAUCGGACACAGGGAGGCUGCGCUCGGUGCCUUCCUGUGAUGAAGUCAGGCCGGCGAGAAUGUCGAGAGCCCAGCGCAACGCGCGUCCAUCCCUCCUUGCCGCUCUCCGCGUGUGCCGCAGCUGUGGCGGCGACAGAGGGAAGGGAGGCAGGCGCGGUGGUGGGGUCUGCAGCUCGUCGUCUUUUCGCGGCGUGUGUGUGUGUGUGUGCGACACUUAGCCGCAAACAAAGG
RNAcentral lists this unclassified non-coding RNA (257 nucleotides) under Leishmania donovani. RNAcentral describes it as "gene:unknown". The record is from RNAcentral. Lineage: Eukaryota; Euglenozoa; Kinetoplastea; Trypanosomatida; Trypanosomatidae.